This 155-nucleotide ribosomal RNA is filed under the name Leucogyrophana mollusca. Its description in RNAcentral is "5.8S ribosomal RNA". It matches the Rfam family "5.8S ribosomal RNA". Rfam says of the family: 5.8S ribosomal RNA (5.8S rRNA) is a component of the large subunit of the eukaryotic ribosome. It is transcribed by RNA polymerase I as part of the 45S precursor that also contains 18S and 28S rRNA. Functionally, it is thought that 5.8S rRNA may be involved in ribosome translocation. The record is from RNAcentral. Lineage: Eukaryota; Fungi; Basidiomycota; Agaricomycetes; Boletales.
AACUUUCAGCAACGGAUCUCUUGGCUCUCGCAUCGAUGAAGAACGUAGCGAAUUGCGAUAUGUAAUGUGAAUUGCAGAUUUUCAGUGAAUCAUCGAAUCUUUGAACGCACCUUGCGCUCCUUGGUAUUCCGAGGAGCAUGCCUGUUUGAGUGUCA